RNAcentral lists this ribosomal RNA (729 nucleotides) under uncultured fungus. RNAcentral's name for it is "SSU rRNA". It matches the Rfam family "Eukaryotic small subunit ribosomal RNA", at positions 326 to 1059 of the family's 1831-position model. The record is from RNAcentral. Lineage: Eukaryota; Fungi.
AUGUAGGAUAGAGGCCUACCAUGGUGGUAACGGGUAACGGGGUGUUAGGGCACGACACCGGAGAGGGAGCCUGAGAAACGGCUACCACAUCCAAGGAUGGCAGCAGGCGCGCAAAUUACCCAAUCCCGACACGGGGAGGUAGUGACAAUAAAUAACAAUACGGGGUUCUUUAGGAUCUCGUAAUUGGAAUGAGUACAAUUUAAAUCUCUUAACGAGGAACAAUUGGAGGGCAAGUCUGGUGCCAGCAGCCGCGGUAAUUCCAGCUCCAAUAGCGUAUAUUAAAGUUGUUGCAGUUAAAAAGCUCGUAGUUGAAUUUCGGGGUUAGUAGGUUGGUCAUGCCUCUGGUAUGUACUGGUCUCACUGAUUCCUCCUUCCUUAUGAACCGUAAUGCCAUUAAUUUGGUGUUGCGGGGAAUUUGGACUGUUACUUUGAAAAAAUUAGAGUGUUUAAAGCAAGCUAACGCUUGAAUACAUUAGCAUGGAAUAAUGAAAUAGGACGUUCGAUCUUAUUUUGUUGGUUUCUAGGAUUGACGUAAUGAUUAAUAGGGAUAGUUGGGGGCAUUAGUAUUCAAUUGUCAGAGGUGAAAUUCUUGGAUUUAUUGAAGACUAACUACUGCGAAAGCAUUUGCCAAGGAUGUUUUCAUUAAUCAAGAACGAAAGUUAGGGGAUCGAAGACGAUCAGAUACCGUCGUAGUCUUAACCAUAAACUAUGCCGACUAGGGAUCGGAUG